UGGGGAAUUUUGGACAAUGGGCGAAAGCCUGAUCCAGCAAUGCCGCGUGUGUGAAGAAGGCCUUCGGGUUGUAAAGCACUUUUGUCCGGAAAGAAAUCCUUGGCUCUAAUACAGUCGGGGGAUGACGGUACCGGAAGAAUAAGCACCGGCUAACUACGUGCCAGCAGCCGCGGUAAUACGUAGGGUGCAAGCGUUAAUCGGAACUACUGGGCGUAAAGCGUGCGCAGGCGGUUUGCUAAGACCGAUGUGAAAUCCCCGGGCUCAACCUGGGAACUGCAUUGGUGACUGGCAGGCUAGAGUAUGGCAGAGGGGGGUAGAAUUCCACGUGUAGCAGUGAAAUGCGUAGAGAUGUGGAGGAAUACCGAUGGCGAAGGCAGCCCCCUGGGCCAAUACUGACGCUCAUGCACGAAAGCGUGGGGAGCAAACAGGAUUAGAUACCCUGGUAGUCCACGCCCUAAACGAUGUCAACUAGUUGUUGGGGAUUCAUUUCCUUAGUAACGUAGCUAACGCGUGAAGUUGACCGCCUGGGGAGUACGGUCGCAAGAUUAAAACUCAAAGGAAUUGACGGGGUCAUAGCUGUUUCCU
This 585-nucleotide ribosomal RNA is filed under the name uncultured bacterium. Its description in RNAcentral is "partial 16S ribosomal RNA". It matches the Rfam family "Bacterial small subunit ribosomal RNA", at positions 355 to 1375 of the family's 1533-position model. The record is from RNAcentral.